RNAcentral lists this long non-coding RNA (6727 nucleotides) under Pelobates cultripes (western spadefoot toad). Lineage: Eukaryota; Metazoa; Chordata; Amphibia; Anura; Pelobatidae. The record is from RNAcentral.
AGUACGAUAAGAUGAUUAAGUGCAAUAGCGGCAUGAAAUGCGUCAAGUGUCUCACCCAUAUGCUCCAUGAACUCCUUUGUACACUGUGGCACUGCAUAAAUUUGCAAGUUUUAUCUAUUUGUAUUCCCUCAUUUCCUGCUGUAAGUCUACCCAUUUUACUCUCCUACUGUUUGUUUAAACUAUGCCCUAAACUGCGCACAUCAAUCAAAUGUUCAUUUUCUUGUUUAUCUUUUGUUGUUAUAUAUAUAUUCAUAUUUUGGUUUAUGUGAAGUUGUUUAAAAUAGAAUGUUUAGAUUUGUCAAUUUUAUUUUAUUAACUGCACUUCUGGGUUUUAGUUGUGUUUUGUUCUUUGUUUUUAUCUUUUUUCUUUCUUUUAGAAUGUGAUGACAUAGGGAGCACUGAAAUGUUUCUGUCUCCCUUGGAGAUAUUUAAUUGGAAAGAAAUAACAAUUGCAUUUUAUAUGACCAGAUAAGGAAAAAGAAUAAAGUGGCUCAGUUAAGGAGAAAUGGCAUUACAAUUUAGUGCAAAAAUUAUAGACUUUCUAAACAGGUUUGAAACUAUAACACUAUAUCCCUCUAAAAAUAAAGCAAACAGAGUAAUAAAGCUUUUAACAUUUUAAUUCAGAAUUCCCCCAAAUAGCUACUAGACAUUGCAGUACACAAAAAAAUCUACUAAUUCAAGUACUUCAAUUGACUGACUGUGCAUUAUGCAAAAUGCGAUUCAGAAUAGCUUUAUUGCUUUAAGUGACCAUUAUGCAGGUUCUUACAUAUACUGUAGGUACAUUUUUUUUUUUUUACAUUCUUUAUUUGAAAUGUUUUUUUGCAGAAGUAACAUGAACAUUUUGCAAUACAAGACAUAGCAGCAAUUCAGCAUCAGCAAGUGAUGUACAUAGUUACAUAGUUACAUAGCUGAAAAGAGACUUGCGUCCAUCAAGUUCAGCCUUCCUCACAUUUGUUUUUUGCUGUUGAUCCAAAAGAAGGCAAAAACCCAGUUUGAAGCACAAUUUUGCAACAAGCUAGGAAAAAAAUUCCUUCUUGACCCCAGAAUGGCAGUCAGAUUUAUCCUUGGAUCAAGCAGUUAUUACCCUACAUUGAAAGAUUAUAUCCUUGAAUAUUCUGUUCUUGCAAGUAUGCAUCUAGUAGCCGUUUGAACAUCUGUAUGGACUCUGAUAAAACCACUUCCUCAGGCAGAGAAUUCCACAUCCUGAUUGUUCUUACAGUAAAAAAACCUUUCCUUUGCCUUAGGCGAAAUCUUCUUUCUUCCAGUCUAAACGCAUGGCCUCGUGUCCUAUGUAAAGUCCGGUUUGUGAAUAGAUUUCCACACAAUGGUUUGUAUUGGCCCCGAAUAUAUUUGUAUAAUGUUAUCAUAUCCCCUCUCAGGCGACGUUUUUCUAAACUAAAUAGGUUUAAAUUUGUUAACCUUUCUUCAUAGCCGAUAUGUUCCAUUCCUUUUAUUAAUUUUGUAGCCCGCCUCUGCACUUUUUUCUAGUGCCAUAAUAUCCUUCUUUAGAACAGGUGCCCAAAAUUGCACAGCAUAUUCAAUAUGGGGUCUUACCAGUGAUUUAUAAAGAGGCAAAAUGAUAUUCUUGUCCUGAGAAUGAAUGCCCUUUUUCAUGCAUGACAAUACCUUACUGGCCUUGGCCACUGCUGAUUGACAUUGCACAUUGUUGCAUAGUUUGUUGUCUAUAACAAUUCCUAAGUCCUUUUCAUGUGUUGUUAUCCCUAAUUCGCUUCCAUUAAGGGUAUACGUUGCUUGUGUAUUCUUUACGCCGAAGUGCAUAACUUUGCAUUUUUCAACAUUAAAUUUCAUCUGCCAUUUGAGUGCCCAGUCCCCCAGUCUAUCUAAAUCCUCUGCAGCAAAGUAAUAUCUUGCUCACAUUGUAUUGUUUUACAAAGUUUUGUGUCAUCUGCAAACACUGAAACAUGACUUUCAAUGCGGUCUUCAAGAUCAUUUAUAAACAUAAGUAAAUAGAAGGGGUCCCAGAACAGACCCCUGAGGGACAAUUCACUUGCCACCCUGUCCAGCUUGAAAAUUUUUCUACCAUUAAUGACAACUCUUUGUAAUUUGCUUUUAAGCCAAUGUUCUACCCAAGAACAAGCAUUUUCAUCUAGACUGAUUUCCUGAGUUUGAAAUAAUUAAUCUAUUGUGUGAACUUGUAUCAAAUGCCUUGGCAAAAACUAAAAGAUCACAUCCACGCAACACCCUGAUCUAUACUUCUACUUACUUCUUCGUAGAACGCAAUCAAGUUAGUUUGACAUGACCUGUGCUUCAUAAAACCAUGCUGAUUUUUGCUGAUAACCAUGUUCUUCAAGGAAUUCUUGAAUAUUAUCCCUUAAUAAACUUUCAAAUAUUUUUCCAGCCACAGAAGUUAAGCUCACAGGUCUAUAAUUUCCAGGCAAGGAUUUUGAACCCUUUUUGAAUAUAGGAACCACAUCUGCCUUCCUCCAAUCCUCCGGAACACUUCCUGAAAGAAAAGAAUCUUGAAAGAUUAAAAACAGAGGUUCACUUAUUUCUGCACUUAGUUCCUUAAGUACACGCGGAUGGAUACCGUCAGGCCCUGGAGCUUUGUUUAUAUUAACUUUCNNNNNNNNNNNNNNNNNNNNNNNNNNNNNNNNNNNNNNNNNNNNNNNNNNNNNNNNNNNNNNNNNNNNNNNNNNNNNNNNNNNNNNNNNNNNNNNNNNNNCAGUAUGGACAAAGGCUUUCCGGCAGACGAAUUGAAAAAAUGUAUUAAAGAAGUGUCUGCUGUAAUUGAGGAAGUGGAACUCUCAAGAAGUAAGGUGAAAGGCUUCCCCACACAUCCCAGAACUCUGGAGUUGCUCCAGAGGGAAUGGAAAAACCCGGAAAGACGGGCAUUUAUAUNNNNNNNNNNNNNNNNNNNNNNNNNNNNNNNNNNNNNNNNNNNNNNNNNNNNNNNNNNNNNNNNNNNNNNNNNNNNNNNNNNNNNNNNNNNNNNNNNNNNCCAAGCAUUUUAAACAGAUCUUCAUGUUACGAUCCGAAGAUAGAUGGGAAGAUCUCCCUAUGGAAGAUAUACAGGUGGCACAGUUGUCCAAGAAAAAAACUAUUCCAAUAGAAGUUUCAGGUCUAAAAGAGCCUAUGAACAAAUGUGCAGUGACUUCACAUAGGUCAUAUAAGGCUGCAGGCUACCAGUGCAAAACAGCUAUUGCAGGGGCAGUAGUGGUGAAAACACAAAAUCUCUGGCUCCUAUCCCUAGAAGAUUUAGUUAUGGAUAACACAAAUAAAGACCUGUCAACCUUAUUUGGUUAUCUAACGAUUUCGUGCUGGAUAUGACUGAGGAGAUGUUAGAGCUGUCAGCCCGCAUCAUGGGUUUAUCAUCUGUAGCCCAAAGUGCAUUAUGGCUGAGAAUAUGGACGGCAGACACAGCUUCUGAAGUUACUUUGUGUGAACUGCCUUUUGAAAAGAACAAGUUAUUUGGUUCUCAACUGGAGGAGAUCAUAAAACUGAUGGCAGACACCAAAAAAGCUCUCCCACAAGAUCUUAGGACGUCUGGAGCAGCAGCUACAGAAGAUUUCAGAACCGAGGUCAGAGGCAUUAUCGUGGCAAAUACAAAUACAGGAAAUUUCGUAAACCUUUCAGAGAGGUCAAAAACAAACAACAUAAGAAAAGGAGAUAUUGAUGCCAGAAGAGUAGGGGGUCAGCUCAGAUUCUUUGUUCUACAAUGGGAAGGAACCACUUCAAAUCAGUGGAUAUUGAAUACCGUAGCAAAGAGUUACAGAAUAAAAUUCUCAAAGCAUCCUGGCCUGAAAUUUUUGGUAUCAACUUACCAGUCAAGAGAAAAAUCCGAAGCAGCUCUGACCCUGUUAAAAAGGCAGUUAUAGAAAGGGUGCCCAAACAACAAGAGUUCCAGGGAGUGUACUCUCACCUUUUUCUAGUCCAACAGCCAGACAAAACAUUCCAGCCUAUUCUAGACCAGAAGAGAGUCAAUGCCUGUAUACCUUACCAAUGGUUUCAUAAGGAGAACAUUUUAGCUGUAACCCACAUGCUGCAACAAGGAGAUUACAUGGCAAAAAUAGAUUUAAGAGAUGCUUAUCUCCAUGUGCCGAUGGCAGUGAAUUUAAGGAGAUAUCUCAAAAAAAUCUGGAAAGAGGAAGCUUCUUCAUUUCCAGUACAAGGCACUACCUUUUGGCCUAUUAUCAGCCCAUGUUUUCACAAAACUCCUUCCAUUAUCAGCGGCGCUAAGACUGAGAGGCAUAACGAUCGUCCCUUACUUAGACGACUGGCUCCUAAAGGCAGAUUCUGAAGAACAACUAUGCAGGCACCUGCAAGUGACCAUUUUUUUCUUAAAAAUCCAUGGAUGGAUACAUUCCAACAAAUCUGAAAUGUGUCCUUCUACAAACAUACAGUUUCAAGGUCUGUGGGUGGAUUCAAGUCUCCUUUCCAUUUCCCUACCAGUAGAGUAGGUAGGAAAUUUCUAUUCUCCAGAGUAAAGACUCCUGCUCCACUUUCUAAAAAACAAAUAUCUUCCAGUGGAGACCAUAAGGAUGUAACAAUUGAUGGCAUGGUUGCUGCAAGAAUGAUUCUUAAAGAACAAGGCGUGUCUGACAGAAUUAGUGAUGUUCUUCUGUCCUCAACUCGCUGAUUCACAAACAAGAUUUACCUUAGGUUCUGGCAUAAAUUCCUACAAUGGUGUUCACAAAAGGGAUGACUCUUUUAAUCUAUCGAUUCCAUGCAUCCUUUCUUUUUUGCAAGAUGCUUUCUCUGCAGGUCUUAGUGUGUCUACUCUCAAAGUUCAGGUAUCAGCCCUCGGCCAUUUACUGAUACAAGAUUUCACAUCCAACAGGCUCAUUUGUAGAUUUUUUAAGCUGUUCUUCUGAAACGUCCUCCAAGGCUCUCUUCUUCUCUCUAGGCCAACUAUUGCUAGAUGGCUUAUUGCAGUUAUCAAACUGGCUUAUAAGGUCAGUAAUCCCUCCCUUCCGUUCCCGGUCAAGGAUAUAUGUAAUGCUACUUGGUCUUCCCUUUCUACUUUUAUCAAGCAUUACAGGCUGGAUAUAUUCUCUUCCUCUGAAGCUGCUUUUGGGCAAAAGGUGCUCCAAGCGUUGGCCUAUUGAUUUUCCACCCAUUUUGUUAAGGGAUCUUGCUAUCUCUCACAUGUUGUAGUACUGCCUCUUACGACAAGAAAAACAGUAAUUUUAGUUACCGUAAAUUCUAUUUUCCUUAGUAUAGUGGCAGUACUGCAUGUUUCCCUCCCAUUGGAUAAUAAAUACAUGUUGCAGUUGAUUGGUCUCCGUAUGGUUAUUCAGGAUUCCUCUCUCACAGUUUCUUUACAAACAGAAGAUAAUUUCUCAGAAUUAGGUGUCCAUAUUCCGUAUUGAAACGUCGAGUGAAAUGUCAGGUGUCGGGUUCAGUGACUUCUGUCACUACUUUGAAGUAAUGUAUGCAGAUGUAUUGAUUAUUUACUUUUCACACAGUGGUGUUUAUUUACCCUGCUUCUGAGAUAGAGACAUAUAUUGGUAUUUAACCCCUUAACAACACAACAGCUGGAAUAAAAGGGAAUCAUGACGGAAUAUUUCCGUCAUAUGUCCUUAAGGGGUUAAACAUUUAUGUUUUGUAUUACUGUUGUUUUAACUAUCCUGAUUAAAUAAAUAUAUACAUUUUUAUAAUACAUACGAUGUAUUAUAGGAUUUUUGACUACGAGGGGUUUUUAAACCCAUCUUGCACCCUUACCUUUCUAAUAUUCAGCAACUUUGGUUGUGUGCUCCUAAACCUUUCUGACCAAUCAGGAAAGUGUCUUGUGAAAAAGGUACACAUGGCUAAAAGGCAUAUUUAUACAUGAGGGUUUAUGACGUCCUUUCAAAUGUUUAAACACGUUUGUAACACAAUAAAGCUGCUUUAGUCUGGAAAAUCAGCUUUCUCCUCAUUAUGUUCCACCCUUAGACAGUAAAGACAUUUUCAAAACCUCUUCGUUCCAUACAGAUUUGGCCUUGUAUAACGGACAUAAUAGCUUGCUUUUCUUUCCAUGUGUCCUACUGCAGGUCAUGCUAAAUUCCCAUUCACCAAAAAUAUAUUUAACUUGGGGGAUUACAGCAGCGCACAACAAUGUUUAAGAACUUAAAUUCGAUUAUAUAUAUAUAUAUAUAUAUAUAUAUAUAUAUAUAUAUAAUCUUUUUAUUUAAUCUGAAAAUGACUUGUAAUGAAAAUAUAAAUUGGUUUAUCUUAGACUAACAAAAUCUUAGAUUAAUAAUCAGACAAUUUACAAAUGGUUCCAGAGAAUGUUUUUCAAACUUAGCGACGAAACCAUUAAAUGUAUGUUUAUAUUUAAUCAAAUUUUAACUGAAAUAAAGUGUCACUACUCCUAUCGGCUUGUUUAUUUGCUUCGAAAAAGCAUAGCCAGUAAAUCUUCAUACGGAAGGCUUAAUUAACAACACACGGCAUAUCAAGGGAUGUCCCAAAAUAUAACUGAAACCCCCAGAUGCUGGCGUUGUAGAGAGUGUUAUGUGAAGUACGAUAAGAUGAUUAAGUGCAAUAGCGGCAUGAAAUGCGUCAAGUGUCUCACCCAUAUGCUCCAUGAACUCCUUUGUACACUGUGGCACUGCAUAAAUUUGCAAGUUUUAUCUAUUUGUAUUCCCUCAUUUCCUGCUGUAAGUCUACCCAUUUUACUCUCCUACUGUUUGUUUAAACUAUGCCCUAAACUGCGCACAUCAAUCAAAUGUUCAUUUUCUUGUUUAUCUUUUGUUGUUAUAUAUAUAUUCAUAUUUUGGUUUAUGUGAAG